This is a long non-coding RNA of Drosophila pseudoobscura, 1409 nucleotides long. RefSeq lists it as uncharacterized. The transcript is spliced from 2 exons. NCBI's taxonomy places the organism in Eukaryota, Metazoa, Arthropoda, Insecta, Diptera, Drosophilidae. The record is from RefSeq and is a predicted model, not a curated record.
AGACACAGCUUCAUGUAUAAAGAAAAACUUCCAGAAGAUGUUGAAAUAGUGUCCGUUUUGUUGCACAGUGUUACUUUAGAUAUAGAAAGAGCAUAUGGCAAAAUGUUCCCCAAACUCGUUGUACCGUAUCGGCAAAGGGACUGCGAACUGUGCCAUCGGACAGGUAGACUUGGGAUGCCUCGACGGCCAGCUGACCCCAGAUAUCCGUGGAUAUAUCCAUUGCUCAGAUGAACACUGCGUGGUCUGGUGUGCUCUGUCUGGUGCGAGUCCGUCGGACCGAGCUACUUUCGCGCUACUGCGAGAAGGCAUCAGAAUCGGAAUCGAAAUCUCCAAAAGACCCGCCAGGCAAUCGGCUCAAGAGAACCGCCGCCACCACCAGCGGAUUCCUAUUUAUAGAUGGGUGCUAGUAACGAUCACAACAGAGCCAGUGCCAGUGCCAGACCCAGUGCCAGAGAGAGGAGCAUUCGACUCAGCCGAAACAGCUGUUGCUCUGGCGAGGACGCCCCCCAGGCAUCACCCAGUUACCCACUCACGCACUCAACCACCCAGAUCUCGCUACAGACGAGUACAUAGGAAUGCGUUUGUUUGGGAUCUGCCAAUUGUUCUCUAUAUACGACGAGUAGAUCUUCUAUAUACAAUCGAUCGGCUUGUUUUGUUUUGUUUAAUGAUCACUCACCAGUCGCGUUUUUACCACCGUAUCAUCGCGUCCAAUAGCUUGGGCUGAUGUUUGCGCUGCCAAAACAUUCCAAUUAUCCAUCGGGUUAACUUUACGUCACUUCACGUGUCUCUGGGAAACUGUCUGCGUGUGGGGGUGGUAUGUGUUUCUGAUUCCGGAUCUAUGUCUGGCUCUAUAUCGAUGCACUAUAUACAGGCGGGCGCCGGUUUGUGUCGGUGGUGUCUUGGUAUAUGCGUCUAUAAGUAGCCAAAGCAUUCAUUCAUAAGUUGCAUUCAUUUUUUUUAAGAAACACUCAAUGUGGCUUCUAGAAAUGGUGGGUUUGGAGUUUAAAUAUUAACUGCUACGUCUCCAAGCAGUAUAUAUAGAGACCUGUUUGCUCACCCUGCUUGCAGACAGCUCUUUGGCAUGCGAUCAACUGCUUGGCGACUGCUUGUUUUCCAACACUAAAUAUGUAAGCUUUCUCUGACGCUGAUCAACGUUUAUUUGAAUGAAGAUGUCAUUGGCAGUUAAGGAAACUUUUUCUAUAGAAGCCAAUUUGAUUUUUCUUAAGCCCAGGGUUUCUCUCAUGCAUGAAACGUACUUUAACCUACUAAAAGCUAUGAUUAUAUGUCUAUCUAGUGGGUCAAACACUUAUUCUACGGUUUAGAAAGACACAUAGUUACCCAUUAUGUUAAAUGACUAAACAAAUUUGUUAGACACUCUAUAAAUAAACGAAUAUUAAGCAAAACAGAAA